RNAcentral lists this ribosomal RNA (440 nucleotides) under uncultured bacterium. RNAcentral's name for it is "partial 16S ribosomal RNA". It matches the Rfam family "Bacterial small subunit ribosomal RNA", at positions 338 to 795 of the family's 1533-position model. The record is from RNAcentral.
CCUACGGGGGGCAGCAGUGGGGAAUAUUGCUCAAUGGGGGAAACCCUGAUGCAGCGACGCCGCGUGAGUGAAGAAGUAUCUCGGUACGUAAAGCUCCAUUAGUAGGGAAGAAAAUGACGGUACCUGACUAAGAAGCCCCGUCUAACUACGUGCCAGCAGCCGCGGUAAUAUGUAGGGGGCAAGCGUUAUCCGGAUUUACUGGGUGUAAAGGGGGCGUAGACGGGAGCACAAGUCUGGAGUGAAAUCCCGGGGCUUAACCCCGGAACUGCUUUGGAAACUGGGCGGCUGGAGUGCAGGAGGGGUAAGCGGAAUGCCUAGUGUAGCGGUGAAAUGCGUAGAUAUUAGGAAGAACACCGAUGGCGAAGGCGGCUUACUGGACUGUAACUGACGUUGAGGCACGAAAGCGUGGGGAGCGAACAGGAUUAGAUACCCCAGUAGUC